AAAUUGUGGCCCUUAGGUGCAAUCGUUUGGAAAGUUGUUUGUCAGUAUUUCUCAGGAGCCAUGGAAAUGGGCAUGCGCUUUGAUCCACUCAUCUUCGAGGAAUUGAGCCAUCCUGUGCCCGAUUGCCAAAAGGAAUCUUUGCAAUACACAGUACCUGAACCUGGAUCAUCACCUCCCUGCUUAAAGUUUUUCCAUGUCACCCCCGUCAUCUAGUACAAGCCCAAAGGCUGACUUUCUCUUGCCCCCAUGUUUUAGUUUUAAGAGCCCCAUCUAUAAAAUGGACAUAAUGAUGACAGCUAUGUAGGUGCCUCGCAAGACGGUAUGGCAUAAAUUAUGGUAGUUACUGCAUAGUUUCAUUUCCUUCAAAUUGAGGAUAAUCUGUGCAUGUUGUGAAACAGGCCCUACACCUCAUUUUGGCCUUUGCACCUACCAGCUCCUCUGCCUGAGAUGUUUGGCCUCUUCUCUCCACUUAGUUAACUUCUAGUUGUUUUUCAAGACUCCGGCCCGCAAGUUCAAGGCGAGCCUCAGCAAUUUUGUGAGACACUCUCCCCACCCCCAAGAAACUGAGUGAGAC
This 574-nucleotide long non-coding RNA is filed under the name Marmota monax (woodchuck). The record is from RNAcentral. Lineage: Eukaryota; Metazoa; Chordata; Mammalia; Rodentia; Sciuridae.